AGCCUGAUGCAGCCAUACCGCGUGGGGGAUGAAGGCCUAUCGGGUUGUAAAGCCCUUUUGUUGGGAAAGAAAAGCAGUCGGCUAAUACCCGGUUGUUCUGACGGUACCCAAAGAAUAAGCACCGGCUAACUUCGUGCCAGCAGCCGCGGUAAUACGAAGGGUGCAAGCGUUACUCGGAAUUACUGGGCGUAAAGCGUGCGUAGGUGGUUGUUUAAGUCUGUUGUGAAAGCCCUGGGCUCAACCUGGGAAUUGCAGUGGAUACUGGGCGACUAGAGUGUGGUAGAGGGUAGUGGAAUUCCCGGUGUAGCAGUGAAAUGCGUAGAGAUCGGGAGGAACAUCCAUGGCGAACGCAGCUACCUGGACCAACACUGACACUGAGGCACGAAAGCGUGGGGAGCAAACAGGAUUACAUACCCUGGUAGUCCACGCCCUAAACGAUGCGAACUGGAUGUUGGGUGCAAUUUGGCACGCAAUAUCGAAGCUAACGCGUUAAGUUCGCCGCCUGGGGAGUACGGUCGCAAGACUGAAACUCAAAGGAAUUGACGGGGGCCCGCACAAGCGGUGGAGUAUGUGGUUUAAUUCGAUGCAACGCGAAGAACCUUACCUGGUCUUGACAUGUCGAGAACUUUCCAGA
RNAcentral lists this ribosomal RNA (634 nucleotides) under Stenotrophomonas sp. So3Pt_181. RNAcentral's name for it is "bacterial SSU rRNA". It matches the Rfam family "Bacterial small subunit ribosomal RNA", at positions 380 to 1004 of the family's 1533-position model. The record is from RNAcentral. Lineage: Bacteria; Pseudomonadati; Pseudomonadota; Gammaproteobacteria; Lysobacterales; Lysobacteraceae.